RNAcentral lists this ribosomal RNA (468 nucleotides) under uncultured bacterium. Its description in RNAcentral is "partial 16S ribosomal RNA". It matches the Rfam family "Bacterial small subunit ribosomal RNA", at positions 28 to 507 of the family's 1533-position model. The record is from RNAcentral.
GACGAACGCUGGCGGCGUGCUUAACCCAUGCAAGUCGAACGGAAAGGCCCUGCUUUUGUGGGGUGCUCGAGUGGCGAACGGGUGAGUAACACGUGAGUAACCUGCCCUUGACUUUGGGAUAACUUCAGGAAACUGGGGCUAAUACCGGAUAGGAGCUCCUGCUGCAUGGUGGGGGUUGGAAAGUUUCGGCGGUUGGGGAUGGACUCGCGGCUUAUCAGCUUGUUGGUGGGGUAGUGGCUUACCAAGGCUUUGACGGGUAGCCGGCCUGAGAGGGUGACCGGCCACAUUGGGACUGAGAUACGGCCCAGACUCCUACGGGAGGCAGCAGUGGGGAAUAUUGCACAAUGGGCGGAAGCCUGAUGCAGCAACGCCGCGUGCGGGAUGACGGCCUUCGGGUUGUAAACCGCUUUCGCCUGUGAAGAAGCGAGAGUGACGGUAAUGGGUAAAGAAGCACCGGCUAACUACGUG